GUAGCUUAUGUUGUCUUGCACUCUCAGGCUUUUCCUAAUAACGCUACAGAACAGAACUUACCAAAUGUGUCCACCUCUAUGUUGACUCUUUUGGGUUCAGUAAAAGCUGGAUGCUCAACCACACAGAGAAGAUGUCAUCUCUUGGAAGGGCACCAGAGAUCUCCCAUCUAAUCACAGCCUCAGGCUUGGCACCGGAGGCAGAGCAAGUGACAGCAUGGUAGAGGGUCUUAUUCACAACUUCCUUUUUCACAUUUAUGUCAACAUCAGGCCGAGCUUAGAGACAAAAUAGAGAGUCAAAGACACAUGUGUAUUCUCCCUCUUGAUCAAAACUUGUCACGUUCACCUUUACAGUAAGGUUUGUAACUGAUGCCGG
Onychostoma macrolepis is the source of this 373-nucleotide long non-coding RNA. RefSeq lists it as uncharacterized. The record is from RefSeq and is a predicted model, not a curated record. Lineage: Eukaryota; Metazoa; Chordata; Actinopteri; Cypriniformes; Cyprinidae. The transcript is spliced from 3 exons.